Molecule: ribosomal RNA, 774 nt
Filed under: uncultured Neocallimastigales
Lineage: Eukaryota; Fungi; Neocallimastigomycota; Neocallimastigomycetes; Neocallimastigales
Description: partial large subunit ribosomal RNA
Rfam family: Eukaryotic large subunit ribosomal RNA
Source: RNAcentral
AGAGAUGUGUGAUGACGCAUAUCAAUAAGCGGAGGAAAAGAAACUAACAAGGAUUCCCCUAGUAACGGCGAGUGAAGCGGGAAGAGCUCAAAUUUGAAAUCUUAAAGGGUUUCCCUUUACGAAUUGUAGUUUAAAGAAGUGUUUUCUGUUGGAGUUUCGGUAAAAGUUCUUUGGAAUAGGACAUCAUAGAGGGUGAGAAUCCCGUAUUUGACCGUUACUUUCCAGCUGUGUGAUACACUUUCAAAGAGUCGGAUUGUUUGGGAAUGCAGUCCAAAAUGGGUGGUAAAUUUCAUCUAAAGCUAAAUAUUGGCGAGAGACCGAUAGCGAACAAGUACCGUGAGGGAAAGAUGAAAGAACUUUGAAAAGAGAGUUAAACAGUACGUGAAAUUGUCAAAAGGGAGGCGUUUGACACCAGUGUUGUUUAGUUGAAAAUCAAUUCAAUAAUUUUUGAUUUUGAGUAGUAUUGACUUCAUCAGCUUGCUGCUUUCUUUUCAGAAAUUAUUGAAUGCACUUUUCAGUUAACAAGUCAACAUCAAUUUCUUUUGUUGUAAAAGGGUAAGAGGAAGGUGGCUUACGCUUCGGCGUAAGUGUUUAUAGCCUUUUACCUCUGCAAUCGGAGAGAUUGAGGUCUGCAGCGUAGAUCCUUCGGGGUUAGAUACAUUUGUGCUAAGUUAUAGCUUUUCAUAGACAACUUGUUGACUAUGUUUAGUCUUGUGACUUACUCGCUGAUGCUAUUUUACCUACGCUUAGGAUGUUGACGAUCAGCUGAGCGCG